GAGGGUAGAGUUCAGUGGUAGAGUGUGUGCCUAGCAUGCACGAGGUCCCAGGUUCAAUCCCCAGUACCUCCA
RNAcentral lists this transfer RNA (72 nucleotides) under Camelus bactrianus (Bactrian camel). It matches the Rfam family "tRNA". Rfam says of the family: Transfer RNA (tRNA) molecules are approximately 80 nucleotides in length. Their secondary structure includes four short double-helical elements and three loops (D, anti-codon, and T loops). Lineage: Eukaryota; Metazoa; Chordata; Mammalia; Artiodactyla; Camelidae. RNAcentral also lists the same sequence under 2 other names. The record is from Rfam by way of RNAcentral.